RNAcentral lists this ribosomal RNA (103 nucleotides) under uncultured Rickettsiella sp. Its description in RNAcentral is "partial 16S ribosomal RNA". Lineage: Bacteria; Pseudomonadati; Pseudomonadota; Gammaproteobacteria; Legionellales; Coxiellaceae. The record is from RNAcentral.
CAGUUUGAUCCUGGCUCAGAUCGAACGCUGGCGGCAUGCCUAACACAUGCAAGUCCAACGGCAGCACCGUGUGUAGAAAUACAUAUGGGUGGCGAGUGGCGGA